This 544-nucleotide ribosomal RNA is filed under the name Arsenophonus endosymbiont of Aleurodicus dispersus. Its description in RNAcentral is "partial 23S ribosomal RNA". It matches the Rfam family "Bacterial large subunit ribosomal RNA", at positions 318 to 730 of the family's 2925-position model. The record is from RNAcentral. Lineage: Bacteria; Pseudomonadati; Pseudomonadota; Gammaproteobacteria; Enterobacterales; Morganellaceae.
CACUAUUUAUAUUAGGAGAAUGGUUUGGAAAGACUAGCAGUAAAGGGUGAUAGCCCCGUAUCCGAAGGUAUAGGUAGAGUGAGCUCGAAGAGUAAGACGGGACACGUGUUAUCCUGUCUGAAUAUGGGGGGACCAUCCUCCAAGGCUAAAUACUCCUGAUUGACCGAUAGUGACCCAGUACCGUGAGGGAAAGGCGAAAAGAACCUUGGCAAGAGGAGUGAAAUAGAACCUGAAACCGCGUACGUACAAGCAUUGGGAGCCCCGCCACCGAAGUAUUUGUUUUUUUUUGAAGGUUGAUGUCGCGCACCAAUCUUAUAACUCCGUAGCUAGAAUCAAAAUACCGGUGUCAAAUAAAUUGCGAUAAGGUUAGUUGCUUACAGCUGGAAAUUAUGGAGUACUUUGGGGUGGGGUGACUGCGUACCUUUUGUAUAAUGGGUCAGCGACUUAUAUUCUGUAGCAAGGUUAACCGCAUAGGGGAGCCGUAGGGAAACCGAGUCUUAAUUGGGCGUUUAGUUGCAGGGUAUAGACCCGAAACCCGGUGAUC